GCGCGUGUCGCUCGACGCGGGCUCCGAGUCGCGACUGGGCUCAGGCUGGCACGGGCUGGCCAAGGCACCGCAGCCCCACUGCAGCUCUGACGUCAGCGAAGUUUCUCCAGCUCCAGUGUUCCGACUGCACAACAGAGAAGAAACAAGAUGCUGAAGCUCCAGUGGUUUGGUCCUGGGAGUGCUAUAUUUACGGAAAGGGUAAGCACAAGUGGCCCAGGCACCCAAGGAUCACGAUGGCUCUUCAGUUAGCUGUCAGAGCGCACUAGAAAUCCUUCUUGGUACGUGAGCAAGUUGGAUCCAAUUCUUCAUCAAAGGUACUGUGCUCGUGGAGGCUGUCAUAUGCUCCAAGUCAUAUGAAUCGGCAGUCCAAAGGCCAGAGGAAAAGGAUCGACAGGGACAGAAGACAAACCUUCAGAAAUGCUGUGGAGAAAAGGCCACCUUUCUGCCUAACAGGUCUCUCUCUUGCUGAAAGCAGCAGUAUGCAUUUGGUUUUUUAAAAUGAACUCCUGGGCCGUGAGACGGGGAGAAUCGAGUGCUGCGAAUGCGCAACAAUCCGCGAGUUUGAUCCUCAGAGCUACAUGGAAGUACAGCGCUCACAACAAUAAAUUAAAUUAAUAAAAUGAAACUGUAAAAAAUGGAACUCGGGGGAAGGGCAAUGCUUUUUGACGUACUUGAACAAUUCUAAAAGCAAUAUAACCUUUUUCUGAGAGGC
Mastomys coucha (southern multimammate mouse) is the source of this 712-nucleotide long non-coding RNA. RefSeq lists it as uncharacterized. The transcript has 3 exons. NCBI's taxonomy places the organism in Eukaryota, Metazoa, Chordata, Mammalia, Rodentia, Muridae. The record is from RefSeq and is a predicted model, not a curated record.